This 1897-nucleotide long non-coding RNA is filed under the name Salmo salar (Atlantic salmon). RNAcentral describes it as "lncRNA (ENSSSAG00000111644.1)". The record is from RNAcentral. Lineage: Eukaryota; Metazoa; Chordata; Actinopteri; Salmoniformes; Salmonidae.
AACACUUACAACAUGACACGCACAACACAAGAUAUUCUUAACUAAAGUUUCAAAACAUUACAUUGAUUAAAUUGAUUAGAAUUACACAACUAUAAAUAAUUAGUGCAACACUGAUUAGUGUUAGUGGAUUACCAGGAAAGGCAUAAACAGUAAACUUUACCCCUCCUCUUAAUGAUCAUAUGAUGCUGGCCAAACACAAUCUGCUUGGCGAGGAAGAAAGGAGGAGGACAACUAGCUUACUCCCUUUACCUGACAGAAAGAAGGAAAGAACGACAGAAGGAGAGAAAGAGAGAGUUGCUUUGAAGGCAUAGGAAUAGACCAAGAACAGACAACAGAAGACAUCAGGAGCCUACAAGUACAAAGGAUUUUAAAAAGGGGGAGCAUGACUACUAUGCAAGUGAUGGUGCAUGGACCAAAGAAACAUUUGAGAGACAAUUCUAAUGAACAGCUCACUUUGGAUAGAGGAGUGGACAAUACUGCGAGUCCCCCUAAAAAACUGUCCCACUCUAUUGAGGAGAUCCUGAAGAAGCCAUCCAGAGUGGGAGAAGAGAGGCAAGAGGGGCUAGGUGGAUGAAGGAACUUUUCAACACAGGGUGCUGCCACAGCAUGUGCACAUUGUCACUGACUGGAGAGGUGACCACAACACAGAGGUCACAAGACUACACCCUGGAGAGUGCAAUAUUGACCGCAUCUCCCAAGACCACAGUGGGGACUCCAGCAGCCACAGUAGUGGCUCCUGUAAAGAUAGUAUUCAGGACAGAGCGGGGAGAGAGGAGGGCCAGGACCAAGGCCGAAUCCAGUGGGAGAGGAUCAGCUGCCAAGCUCAUCAUGUGCAGAGGAGGAGAAGGAAGACCUGGACCAUCUUCACUCCAGGUCAGGUGGAGAAGGAAGACCCGGACCAGCUUCACUCCAGGUCAGGAGGAGAAGGAAGACCCGGACCAGCUUCACUCCAGGUCAGGAGGAGAAGGAAGACCCGGACCAGCUUCACUCCAGGUCAGGUGGAGGAGCUGGAGAAGGUGUUCUUGGAGACCCACUAUCCUGAUGUCCACAUCCGGGACACACUUGCCUCUCAUCUGCAGCUCACCGAGGGAAGAGUACAGAUUUGGUUCCAGAACCACAGAGCCAAAUGGAGGUAGACUGAGAUGCUAAGGGACGUGGAAAUGAUGGCCAGAGACCAGACCCCUAUAUGUACAUUCAAACCUGGGCUUCUUUAUAGUGAGGUAACCAUGGUUGGCAGAGGAAGAACAAUGAUUCCAAGCACCACCCUCCUUUUGAAGCUUCCGGUCUGUUAUUCGAACUCAAUCAGCAUGACAGAGUGAUCUCCAGCCUUGUCCUUGUCAACACUCACACCUGUGUUAACAAGAGAAUCACUGACAUGAUGUCAGCUGGUCCUUGUGUGGCAGGUCCGAAAUGCAGUGGAAAUGUUUUUGGGGGAUUCAGUUCAUUCGCAUGGCAAAGAGGGACUUUGCAAUUAAUUGCAAUUCAUCUGAUCACUCUUCAUAACAUUCUGGAGUAUAUGCAAAUUGCCAUCAUUCAAACUGAGGCAGCAGACUUUGUGAAAAUUUAUAUUUGUGUCAUUCUCAAAACUUUUGACCACGACUGUAUAUGUGAUUGUAUAAGACGUGAGUCAUGCUUGAGACAGUUGACAAAAACCUCAAUAAAAUGAUCCUGUAAUUUGUUUCCAUGACAAAACAGCGUGAAGAGGCUAUCUCUCUGUUUCCGUUGAAUCCUUGCUCACUACAGUACGGGCCAUACCAACUACUAGAAAAGCUUUACCCAGGGGUAUUGCCGUUCCAACCUUUUCUACCUGUGUUGCCACACCUGCAUCACCAAGCUCUAUGCUCCCCCUGGACCCGACAUUAAUUUCCCAUCCCAAUAGUCACUUUCAGUUGACACA